CCCCAUGGUGCCCCGCGCCGGCGGGGGCAACGCAUUGGUGACGGCAUUCCUCACGGCCGGCGUGCGGCGGACACCGCUCGUGGAUAAUAACAGGAACGUGGCAUUUAUAAACGUUAAAUACACAGAAAUCAAAAGGCCUCCCAGGGUUUUAACAGGACAGUGGACUGCAGCCAACGCCGUGAGAGGAAAGGGGCGGGGAGGCGCUGACGCGGGUCUCUGCCUGCCGAGGAUCAAGGGAAGGACAGAUACUGUUGUUACUGCACUGAAACCCCGGGGUACCAGAUGAAACAGGGAAGCAGCACUGCGUCAUGGUUAAUUGACUUGUAUUAAUACAGAGAAUUCUUUCACAAGUAGCUCCUGUAUCAGGAGAACUGGUGCCUCCAGACUCUCCAAAUCUGUCCAGAACUUGAGUUGUGCCAAGGGUGACUUCUUCAGUUUGGGAAUUAUACAGAGCUCUCUCUCCAUAGAUCAUUAAGGCAUGAUCCAGUAGGAUUAACAGCAUUAACAGCUUGAUGCAAUAAUUAACAGGAAAUUGCAACAAGCGAACUGCUGCCGAUAACCACACACAGCUCAGCAUGCUGUGGGAAAGGAGCAGCUGUGCCAUCCAAUUUAACAGAGAGCCUGGGACGCACAAACUCGACUCCUCCUGGGACAGGUGAAUUGUUGCUGUCGAUUUAUUUAUCUUGGUGCUGGACCCCUCUGCACAUCAGGUACUGAUAUAUUCCAUAUUGCUGAGUCUUCUAGAGGCAAAUAAAAAAUAUGUAUUUAUUCCUCCUUUCCAUUUUACCUUUGCUUUUGAAAGUCACUGGCACCAAAGAUGUUAUAUUUGGUUAUAAUAAUUUCACAGAAUAUCAAGUGGGUAACAUGAACCUCAUUCUCUCUGUCCCACAUGGUGGGUCACUGGAACCUAAAGACAUCCCAGAUCGAGAGGCUGCCUGUUGGGAUGAGAAGACAUCCUCUUGUAUCUUCUCUCAUGACUGUCCUCCUGGAAGUAUUCAAAAUGCUAUGAAAUGCAAAGUGUCUACCAACCAAGACAGGUAUACUAUAGAGGUGGCUCAGGCUCUUGCUGAAGAAAUCAACAAAAUUACUGGUGGCUUCUUCCCACAUAUCAUCAUAAAUCACCUACAGAGAUUCAAGAUGGAUGCUAACAGGGAAAAGGAAGAAGCCUCCUUUGGAAUUCCCCAAGCAGAACAGGCCUGGGAGGACUAUAUGGCAUUUUUGACCACUGCAAAAUCACAGAUGUCAGGGGGCCUAAUUCUGGAUAUCCACGGACAAGCGCAUCCUGAAAGGUGGAUAGAACUAGGUUACACACUUUCAAAAACGUCCCUUAACUCGGGUGUCUUUUCUGCAUCAGAUUCCUCAAUUAGCCAUCUGGCCAGUCAGCUGGUCAAUGUGUCUUCUGAGAUUUUGGUUUCAGGGAACAGAAGUUUGGGCAAAUAUAUUGAAGGACAAAAUAAGAGUUAUGUUUGUGUGCCUUCUCCAUCCAAUCCUAGCCCAAAUAAUGGAAGCUAUUAUAGUGGUGGGUACAUAACAAAGACUUUUGGUUCCCGGACUUCUGGCACCAUCGAUGCCAUUCAGCUUGAGCUGCCCCAGUGGGUGAGGGCAGCUGAAGAGCGUCACAGAUUUUGUAAAGCCCUGGCAAGGGCUGUAAUGAAAUUCUGGCAAGCUAACUACUGUAGCCAGCAGAAACAUAAUCUUCUGCCAUGCUGAAAGAGGCUGUCCUGUUAAGAUGCCUUUCCUUAACAGAGUAGUGAUCUGGAACAAUCAAACAACUCAUUCACCUGGAAUGUUGAAGUGCAGUAUAAGUGUGGAUGCUGGUAGAAAGAAACCAUCCUGCAAAGGAAUGCAUCAACACAGAGGAAAUCCACAGUUAAUACCAACAAAUCCAACCCAAAAAUUAACACACACCUUUGUACUAGACCCAGCCUUGAAAUGACUGCUCUAAGAUAAGUGGGUGCAAGCAUCACUUGCCUGUGCUUAAUUUCUUUCCAGUCUCAUGAUAAAAAACUGAUCUUCUAAUAAAUUCUGUGCAAUGCCUUAGUGGAUUAUCUGUUCAAAUAAA
Molecule: long non-coding RNA, 2062 nt
Organism: Zonotrichia leucophrys gambelii
Lineage: Eukaryota; Metazoa; Chordata; Aves; Passeriformes; Passerellidae
Exons: 4
Source: RefSeq, a predicted model, not a curated record